This is an RNA transcript of Phoenix dactylifera (date palm), 1599 nucleotides long. It is a transcript of the gene named putative alpha-1,6-mannosyltransferase MNN10, with no coding region annotated. Lineage: Eukaryota; Viridiplantae; Streptophyta; Magnoliopsida; Arecales; Arecaceae. The record is from RefSeq and is a predicted model, not a curated record.
UUGUUGAUGAUGGAUUUGGUGGUGGCGGCUAUCCCAGGUGGUGACAGAGACCUUCUUGACUUCCAUAAGCAAAGUAUAACACGGCAGCCUAAGGUUUCUUGCAGAGAAUCUGUUGACCACUCGAGAGCAUAGAAUAAAAGAGAAAGAACCCUAAAAAUCAAGAAGAAAUGGCAGCCUAACGUUCUUGUUGGGUUCCAUUUGGUCAGCUUCUUCCACAUCCCAAAAGAGACAUGAGAGAGGUCGUCUGUUUCUAUCCCCCUGACCUUUCAGCUCACACCGGCGCCACCUUUGACGUUAAAUUUAUAUGAACUAAACAAAAGAAGGUGAAGUUAAAUUGCAAACUCCAUGCAAAGAAUGAACCUCCAAAAAGCUUCAAAGCCUCGAAGCCUAAGCUCUCUCCAGCUAGAAUUCUCUCCCAGGAAACCUCCGAUGGCUCCGCGGCCACGCGUCCGGUGGACGAAGACCCGGCAUGCGAACCGCCGGCUCUGGCUUCUCCUCUGCGUCGCCUCGCCGCUGCUGGCUCUGGCCACCCUCCACGCCGCCGCCGCCGCCCUCCGCCGGGCCAACGCCUUCGGGCGGCGCUGCGCCCCGGACGCCGUGGAGUAUUCCGGCGAGGCGGCGGCGGGUUUUCGUCCGAGGAUAGCGAUGGUGACCUUCUCGGCGGAGGAGAUUGGCGGCGGCUCGCGGCGGUCGUUCCGGGGGGUGAUGGAGGCGGUGGGGGAGAAUAAGCGGGCGUACGCAGGGAGGAUGGGGUACGACUUCAUCGACGCAGGUGGUCUGGUCGAUCCCAGCCGUCCGCCCAGCUGGAGCAAGAUCCCUGCCGUCCGAUCGCAGCUCCCCAACUACGAUUGGGUCUUCUGGAAUGACGCCGACACGGUGAUAACGAAUCCGGAUAUAUCCUUGGAGAAUAUUUUGAAUGCAGCAAUUGGGCAUAGUGAUCUUCGAGCAUCUCCGGAUUUGGUAGUAACCGAGGAUUUCAAUGGAGUGAAUGCAGGUGUCUUCUUUUUCCGGCGAUCAGAGUGGAGCGAGAAGUUUCUGGACACGUGGUGGAAUCAAACAUCGUUCGUGCUUUUUGGGUCCACGAUAAGCGGCGACAACACUGCGCUGAAGCACCUCAUAAACGGCCUCCCUUCGGAAGAGCUACAAGACCACGUCCGUACUGUACCAAUGCAGUGCCUCUUCAACUCCUAUCCUUGGUUACCCAUUUGGAAGAAUGCCUACCGUCUGAUCUUCUCGCCUCUCAAGACCUGGGAAGGGGCGUACUCUGAUGGGGACUUUAUGGUGCACCUUGCGGGCUUAGAUGAGAAAAAGAAAUGGGCUGCCAGGAUACUAGGUGAAUUGAGAGCUUAGCUAGAAGGUGACUCAUAUGCACAGAAGCACAUAAAUUUGCAAGCCGAUGUGUUUCUCAGUUCAGCUCAUGUGUAUGGGAGUGCAGGAAGGGCGUAGUUCGUUACUGAUUGUUAUUCAAGCCAUAGAUUCGCCCGUUGUGGAACUGUUGUAAUGUUUCUUUGCUUUAUUAUCUACUUGCAAGUGCCUGCGAGGCUCGUAUAAUUGUAGCUUUCAUGGAGAACUUGACUUAUUGAAUUAUUGCCAGUAAAA